This 525-nucleotide ribosomal RNA is filed under the name uncultured Paraburkholderia sp. RNAcentral's name for it is "bacterial SSU rRNA". It matches the Rfam family "Bacterial small subunit ribosomal RNA", at positions 340 to 858 of the family's 1533-position model. Lineage: Bacteria; Pseudomonadati; Pseudomonadota; Betaproteobacteria; Burkholderiales; Burkholderiaceae. The record is from RNAcentral.
UACGGGAGGCAGCAGUGGGGAAUUUUGGACAAUGGGGGCAACCCUGAUCCAGCAAUGCCGCGUGUGUGAAGAAGGCCUUCGGGUUGUAAAGCACUUUUGUCCGGAAAGAAAACUUCUGCCCUAAUACGGUGGGAGGAUGACGGUACCGGAAGAAUAAGCACCGGCUAACUACGUGCCAGCAGCCGCGGUAAUACGUAGGGUGCAAGCGUUAAUCGGAAUUACUGGGCGUAAAGCGUGCGCAGGCGGUCCGCUAAGACAGAUGUGAAAUCCCCGGGCUUAACCUGGGAACUGCAUUUGUGACUGGCGGGCUAGAGUAUGGCAGAGGGGGGUAGAAUUCCACGUGUAGCAGUGAAAUGCGUAGAGAUGUGGAGGAAUACCGAUGGCGAAGGCAGCCCCCUGGGCCAAUACUGACGCUCAUGCACGAAAGCGUGGGGAGCAAACAGGAUUAGAUACCCUGGUAGUCCACGCCCUAAACGAUGUCAACUAGUUGUUGGGGAUUCAUUUCCUUAGUAACGAAGCUAACGC